This 484-nucleotide ribosomal RNA is filed under the name uncultured bacterium. RNAcentral describes it as "bacterial SSU rRNA". It matches the Rfam family "Bacterial small subunit ribosomal RNA", at positions 8 to 526 of the family's 1533-position model. The record is from RNAcentral.
AGAGUUUGAUCAUGGCUCAGAACGAACGCUGGCGGCAUGCCUAACACAUGCAAGUCGAACGCGUGGAGCGAUCCACGAGUGGCGCACGGGUGAGUAACGCGUGGGAACCUGCCCUUGAGUGGGGGAUAACCCGGCGAAAGCCGGGCUAAUACCGCAUACGCCCUGGGAGUGAUCUUGGGGGAAAGAUUUAUCGCUCGAGGAGGGGCCCGCGUGGGAUUAGCUAGUUGGUGAGGUAACGGCUCACCAAGGCGAUGAUCCCUAGCUGGUCUGAGAGGAUGAUCAGCCACACUGGGACUGAGACACGGCCCAGACUCCUACGGGAGGCAGCAGUGGGGAAUAUUGGACAAUGGGGGCAACCCUGAUCCAGCAAUGCCGCGUGAGUGAUGAAGGCCUUAGGGUUGUAAAGCUCUUUCGCCCGCGACGAUGAUGACGGUAGCGGGAGAAGAAGCCCCGGCUAACUUCGUGCCAGCCGCCGCGGUAAUUC